RNAcentral lists this ribosomal RNA (229 nucleotides) under uncultured bacterium. Its description in RNAcentral is "partial 16S ribosomal RNA". It matches the Rfam family "Bacterial small subunit ribosomal RNA", at positions 568 to 796 of the family's 1533-position model. The record is from RNAcentral.
UGCGUAGGCGGAAUUUUAAGUCAGUGGUGAAAUCCUGCAGCUCAACUGUAGAACUGCCAUUGAUACUGAUCUUCUUGAAUUUAGUUGAGGUGGGCGGAACGUGUAAUGUAGCGGUGAAAUGCUUAGAUAUUACACAGAACACCGAUUGCGAAGGCAGCUCACUAAACUAACAUUGACGCUGAGGCGCGAAAGCGUGGGGAGCAAACAGGAUUAGAUACCCUGGUAGUCC